UUCUACUUCGGCAGCACAUAUACUAAAAUUGGAACGAUACAGAGAAGAUUAGCAUGUCCCCUGCGCAAGAAGUUAGCAUAGUGUCUAGAUCCAUGGAAGUCAUGC
This is a non-coding RNA of Anolis sagrei ordinatus, 105 nucleotides long. The record is from RefSeq and is a predicted model, not a curated record. Lineage: Eukaryota; Metazoa; Chordata; Lepidosauria; Squamata; Anolidae.